GAUGAAGAACGUAGCGAAAUGCGAUACUUGGUGUGAAUUGCAGAAUCCCGUGAACCAUCGAGUCUUUGAACGCAAGUUGCGCCCGAAGCCACUAGGCCGAGGGCACGCCUGCCUGGGCGUCACACGCCGUUGCCCCCCCAUCUACUCCUUCGGGAUUGCGGGGGGGCGGAUGAUGGCCUCCCGUGCGCCUAGCCGCGCGGUUGGCAUAAAUACCAAGUCCUCGGCGACGCACGCCACGACAAUCGGUGGUUGCGAAACCUCGGUCGCCCGUCGUGUGCGUUCGUCGCGCAUCGAGGGCUCGAAAAAAUGCUCGGCUCCGGCUGGGCUUUCAACGCGACCCCAGGUCAGGCGGGGUUACCCGCUGAAUUUAAGCAUAUCAAUAAGCGGAGGA
RNAcentral lists this unclassified non-coding RNA (391 nucleotides) under soil metagenome. Its description in RNAcentral is "partial contains 5.8S ribosomal RNA, internal transcribed spacer 2, and large subunit ribosomal RNA". The stretch from base 1 to 122 matches the Rfam family "5.8S ribosomal RNA", at positions 35 to 154 of the family's 154-position model. The record is from RNAcentral.